UUCUCCUGGCCUAAGUGGUCAGAACGUCCGCCUCAGAUGCGGAUGGUAGCGGGUUUGAACCCCGGCCGAGUCAU
This is a non-coding RNA of Potamilus streckersoni, 74 nucleotides long. The record is from the annotation of a GenBank genome assembly. Lineage: Eukaryota; Metazoa; Mollusca; Bivalvia; Unionida; Unionidae.